GCUUACGGCCAUACCACCCUGAGCAUGUCCGAUCUCGUCUGAUCUUGAAAGCUAAGCAAAAUCGGGCAUGGAUAGUACUUGGAUGGGAGAUCGCCUGGGAAUACCAGGUGCUGUAAGAU
This is a ribosomal RNA of Astatotilapia calliptera (eastern happy), 119 nucleotides long. The record is from Ensembl. Lineage: Eukaryota; Metazoa; Chordata; Actinopteri; Cichliformes; Cichlidae.